ACAGGUUCAUAUUGCAAUCAUUCCAACCAGCAAACCCGUGACGUGUGAGGACUUGUAAGACACACCAAUAUGAACUGUAUAACCUAUGCCUUUUCCUAAACACACAAUCUUUGCAUUGUAAAGAAAGACAGCAUUAUUGGACACCUUUUUUAAAGCGUGUGCUGUAGGAACAACUUGGACAUCAAAAUAUCACAUAAAUGAGAUGUAAAGAUAAUCCACAUGGCACUAUUAAACUUCACAACAACAACAACCUCAAACAGACUGUGUUUGGAAACAAUAUUAAAGCUUGUAACUGACUCCGAUUACUUUGUGUUUUUUUUUUUCCCUAGCUAGAUAUCAUUUUUAGCAUACAUUGAGAAGUAGGGAAACUGAUAACAUACCAAACCAGCACAUGAGACCUUAAGCAGGUAUGAGUUUAGCAUGUGGGAGAAAAGGACACUGGGUAUGUUUGCCUUCUCUCCAAGAAAGCAUUUAGUUGGGUAUGAAUUUGGCAUGCUUGGCAAUUUGGCAAGUUGUUUUUUAACCCUCUGUUGUAGGAUUCAGUUUGAUGCCAUAGACACUGAGAGCAGAACUGCUCCACUGUGAAAGCUUCUGACUUGAAUCUCUGGAAGCAUUUAUCCGAAAAUGACCAGCAAGUUUCUGGAAAGAGGGAAAACACAAAUAUCCCUACGUCUGUUUCAUGUUAUUGUGUUUCUUCCCCUUACAUUCACAAUUCCCACUGGCACUUGUGGAAAAUAAAUAUGACCAGAAUAAAGGGUAGAGAAUGAAUCCUUUAACAUACAUUUAGAGGCAAACGUAGAAAAACUGUACGAAGAAAGGCUUUCUUAACUUCUGGAUUUAAUGACUUCAAAGAAUCCCUUUUAGAGUCCACAUUACUAUCUGCAAGCAGCUAGGAAGCAGAAAUACAAAACCACAAAACAAAUGGCCAAGUAACAUAAUAUUACAUAAUAGUGUGGUUAAAUGGCAAGGAAUCUAAAACCUACACUGCUCCUUCCACUCAUGAACCUUUAACAGUUUUAAAAGCAUAAGAUACUAAUUUUUUGUUGUUUGCAUCUUUUGUUGUUCCUACUGAACAAAACCCUCUGCUCACUAAGGAACAGUUUACACCACCAAAAGCUUCUAGAUAACAGCAGUAUAUGCAUACAUACAUAAAAAUCCCAUAGAUGCAGAUAAAUACUAUUUGUGAACAACAGUCAUUAAGUAUAUACUUUCAGUGAAACAACUGAAUGCAAAGUUUUAAAGGGACUCCUAAGUUCACUAAUAAGAAAAUUGUAUCAGCUGUUUUUAUUUAUGUAGCUGAAUUUGUAUUUGUGUUUAAUAGAAUUAAUCUUUUCCAAGUUAUGGUUGCUACGAUUAAACUCAGAAACCAUUAAAAUGAGAUUAGCUAUUUUUAACUGAAGCCUUCUAGGUGAGAAGAUACCAUCACAUACAGAUGAACUUGAGUGACAUUUUGACCAGGCAAGUCAAAAUUUCUUCUUCUGUGAAAGUUUGUACUGCAAGAACUAUUUACAUUCUGCUGCAAUAAUACUGCAAAACUACCACUGCUUUAAACCUAGUAUUGUCAGCAUUUAUUAUAUAUUUCAUUAAGCCUUUCUUUCUGUUAACAAAGCUUUGCCCCAUCAUCAUCAGCGCUUGCAUUUCUUAUCCUCAAUUCCUACUCAAUUUAAACCUCACUCUCCAAAAAUUUAACUGUAAUUAACAAGGACUGUAAUUUUUUCAAAUAAAGUAAAUUAAUUUGAAAGUCUUAUCAGAUCUCUUCACAGCUGAGGAACAAUCUCUCCUCUGAAAUUAUGUUCUUCUGAUGGUAACUGGUAACAACACAGUGAGUCUGUUUUACCCAUGUAAUGGGGAGAGCAGCAAAAUCUGGAUAGGCACUAGAAGUACUCUACAAAAGGUCAGAAACAAAUUGAAGCCAAUCUAAAUUUUACUUGAGACUUCCUAUCAAAAAUAGCUCUCAUUUUAAGUAUGAUGAGAAACAAGAAUAAUUAAAUUUGACUGAAUGUAUUCUAGAUAUCCAUAGUUGAUUUUGCAGUUCAGUGUUUGAGUCUGACGUAAUUCUGUGGUUGAGAGGCUGUUGGAUGUGCUGCUUUCUGUAAUAAUUCCCAAUCUGCAAUGUAUAUUAUUUCCUAUUUGUAGAUUUAAAAA
Molecule: non-coding RNA, 2145 nt
Organism: Meleagris gallopavo (turkey)
Lineage: Eukaryota; Metazoa; Chordata; Aves; Galliformes; Phasianidae
Source: RefSeq, a predicted model, not a curated record